UAGAUAGGUUCGAGGUGGAAGCAUAGCGAUAUGUGUAGCUGACGAAUACUAAUCGAUCGAGGACUUAACCAAAUU
RNAcentral lists this ribosomal RNA (75 nucleotides) under Jeotgalibacillus sp. S-D1. RNAcentral's name for it is "partial 23S ribosomal RNA". Lineage: Bacteria; Bacillati; Bacillota; Bacilli; Caryophanales; Caryophanaceae. The record is from RNAcentral.